Molecule: ribosomal RNA, 324 nt
Filed under: uncultured eukaryote
Lineage: Eukaryota
Description: partial 18S ribosomal RNA
Rfam family: Eukaryotic small subunit ribosomal RNA
Source: RNAcentral
CCCUUAGAUGUUCUGGGCUGCACGCGCGCUACACUGAAGCUAUCAACACGUUUUCCCUCCCUGAGAAGGGCGGGUAACCUUUUGAAUCAGCUUCGUGGUAGGGAUGGGGGCUUGCAAUUGUUCCCCGUGAACCAGGAAUUCCUAGUAGACGCGAGUCAUAAGCUCGCAUCGAUUAAGUCCCUGCCCUUUGUACACACCGCCCGUCGCUACUACCGAUUGAACGUUUUAGUGAGGCAUUUGGACCGACGCAUCUCAGUUUAACCGCUGGUUUGUGUUGGAAAGACUUCCAAACUUGAGCGUUUAGAGGAAGUAAAAGUCGUAACA